This 352-nucleotide unclassified non-coding RNA is filed under the name soil metagenome. RNAcentral's name for it is "partial contains 5.8S ribosomal RNA, internal transcribed spacer 2, and large subunit ribosomal RNA". The stretch from base 1 to 120 matches the Rfam family "5.8S ribosomal RNA", at positions 35 to 154 of the family's 154-position model. The record is from RNAcentral.
GAUGAAGAACGCAGCGAAAUGCGAUAAGUAAUGUGAAUUGCAGAAUUCAGUGAAUCAUCGAAUCUUUGAACGCACAUUGCGCCCGCCAGUAUUCUGGCGGGCAUGCCUGUUCGAGCGUCAUUACAACCCUCAGGCCCCCGGGCCUGGCGUUGGGGAUCGGCGGAAGCCCCCUGUGGGCACACGCCGUCCCUCAAAUACAGUGGCGGUCCCGCCGCAGCUUCCAUUGCGUAGUAGCUAACACCUCGCAACUGGAGAGCGGCGCGGCCAUGCCGUAAAACACCCAACUUCUGAAUGGUGACCUCGAAUCAGGUAGGAAUACCCGCUGAACUUAAGCAUAUCAAUAAGCGGAGGA